UUCCAGUCGGAGCCGAGAGCCUUGAACCGCCAGAGGGGCGGGACCGUGCCCCGCUCAGCUCCUUGAUCCUACUGAGCAGGCGCCGGAGAUUCCUGGCGUCUGAACAUUGGUGCUGAGCUUUUUAGGUUACAGACCCAGUCCUCUACAGGGAGGUUAAGUCCGCUGGUCCGCUGGUCUAGAAGAAAGGAACUGAGGACACCAUUCAGGCUGAGGCAAAAAAGCUGCGACAGAGAGAAGGCCUGAAGUUUCCUCGACCUUGGCUUGUGCCCAGUUCAGCCCUCCAAAAGGCAGAGCGGAAAGCAGAAAAACGUCAAGUCACUGGAUGAUUUCCCUGGGCAGCUAAGGCUGAAAGUAGCAUGUCUUCCAUGUCAAGAAAUGAAGCUUAACACUAAGUGG
This is a long non-coding RNA of Mastomys coucha (southern multimammate mouse), 396 nucleotides long. RefSeq lists it as uncharacterized. The record is from RefSeq and is a predicted model, not a curated record. Lineage: Eukaryota; Metazoa; Chordata; Mammalia; Rodentia; Muridae. The transcript is spliced from 3 exons.